This 513-nucleotide ribosomal RNA is filed under the name Ozius rugulosus. RNAcentral's name for it is "partial 16S ribosomal RNA". It matches the Rfam family "Bacterial large subunit ribosomal RNA", at positions 1836 to 2589 of the family's 2925-position model. The record is from RNAcentral. Lineage: Eukaryota; Metazoa; Arthropoda; Malacostraca; Decapoda; Oziidae.
UUUGAAGGUGUAAAUAGUCUGGUCUGCUCACUGACAAUAAUUGUUAAAGAGCCGCGGUAUCUUGACCGUGCAAAGGUAGCAUAAUCAUUAGUUUCUUAAUUAGAAGCUUGUAUGAAGGAUCGGACAAAGGAAAGGCUGUCUCUAUUAUAAAAAUUGAAGUUGACUUUUAAGUGAAAAGGCUUAAAUGAUUCUAGGGGACGAUAAGACCCUAUAAAGCUUUAUGUGUUAAUUUAAUUUAACUGAAUUAUAAUUUAUAAAAGUUUAAUUUAAUUGUCAUGUUUUAUUGGGGCGAUAUAGGUAUAAUUUUUAUUAACUACCUAAUAGUUAAUACACUGAUAGGUGGGGAUAAGUAUGUAAUUGAUCCUUAAUAGAGAUUAAAAGACUAAGUUACUUUAGGGAUAACAGCGUAAUUUUUUUUGAGAGUUCAUAUCGAAAAAGAAGUUUGCGACCUCGAUGUUGAAUUAAAAUGUCUAUAUAAUGCAGGUGUUAUAUAAGAAGGUCUGUUCGACCUUU